UCCCAGCAUCAGACGGAGGUGGUCCACGGU
RNAcentral lists this non-coding RNA (30 nucleotides) under Homo sapiens (human). The record is from RNAcentral. Lineage: Eukaryota; Metazoa; Chordata; Mammalia; Primates; Hominidae.